Molecule: ribosomal RNA, 301 nt
Filed under: uncultured bacterium
Lineage: Bacteria
Description: partial 16S ribosomal RNA
Rfam family: Bacterial small subunit ribosomal RNA
Source: RNAcentral
CAGCAGCCGCGGGAAUACGUAGGUGGCAAGCGUUGUCCGGAAUUAUUGGGCGUAAAGCGCGCGCAGGCAGAUCAGUCAGUCUGUCUUAAAAGUUCGGGGCUUAACCCCGUGAUGGGAUGGAAACUGCUGAUCUAGAGUAUCGGAGAGGAAAGUGGAAUUCCUAGUGUAGCGGUGAAAUGCGUAGACACUAGGAAGAACACCAGUGGCGAAGGCGACUUUCUGGACGAAAACUGACGCUGAGGCGCGAAAGCCAGGGGAGCGAACGGGAUUAGAUACCCCCGUAGUCCCUGUCUCUUAUACA